GUUUGCUUACAGUAUGUAUUUUCUCCUUUACAGAAAUGACGCCAUCUACAAAACCGCUCAGAUCUAAGUCUUAAUAAAUCUUUAGGGAUUCACCUCGUCACUGUUUUCUUCCUUAUCAGUAUCUGUCACCGCAACCAUAUUUUUUCUUCUUCUCUUUUCCUUCUCGGUAUUCCUGCCUUUCCACCUUUAUUAUCAUCCUGCUUUCCUCCGCCGUCUUUCCGCCUCUCACCACCACCUUUUUUUUCUCGGCAGGUGAGUCGGCCGGCCGGUGAGCUGUGGUGUCUGCUGUCUUCCUCGGCUCAGUUCGCGCGGGCGGGGAGGGAGCGGCAGCCGGCGGGGAGUCACGGGUAAAGGCGGAGCGGCACUGAAUUAAUCUACGGUCAAAGGGCAGAGGAUCGACGGAUGUGAUGAAUGGGACGAAAUGGAAGGCGUGGAUUGUGCUUGGAGUAGUGGU
This is a long non-coding RNA of Eriocheir sinensis (Chinese mitten crab), 454 nucleotides long. RefSeq lists it as uncharacterized. The transcript has 3 exons. The record is from RefSeq and is a predicted model, not a curated record. NCBI's taxonomy places the organism in Eukaryota, Metazoa, Arthropoda, Malacostraca, Decapoda, Varunidae.